UACGUAGGGAGCAAGCGUUGUCCGGAAUCAUUGGGCGUAAAGCGCGCGUAGGUGGCUUCGUAAGUCCGUUGUGAAAGUCAAAGGCUCAACCUUUGAAAGCCGAUGGAUACUGCGGAGCUAGAGUACGGAAGAGGCGAGUGGAAUUCCUGGUGUAGCGGUGGAAUGCGCAGAUAUCAGGAGGAACACCAAUAGCAAAGGCAGCUCGCUGGGACGUUACUGACACUGAGGCGCGAAAGCGUGGGGAGCAAACAGG
RNAcentral lists this ribosomal RNA (253 nucleotides) under uncultured bacterium. RNAcentral's name for it is "partial 16S ribosomal RNA". It matches the Rfam family "Bacterial small subunit ribosomal RNA", at positions 524 to 776 of the family's 1533-position model. The record is from RNAcentral.